UCCCUCUCCCCUCCCCCUCCUCCCCAGACAUAGCAAGAAGCAUUUUCUAACAUCUAGGUUGAGAACAAGCCUGAAUGGUACCCAUGGUUGGGAGAGAGAACUCCAGCUUUGAAUUGACUUUACAGACCAGAUCGAGCCCCACCCUUACUUACUUUAGCCUUCUGGGAGCCACCACCAGGCGAGGCCCAGAGCCGGCUGUGGCCGGUGUACUCCUGCCAACCCCUGCCACCAGCCCCAGCCCCAGCCCCUGCCAACUCGGACCCCAGACCACUUGCACCCUGACGGGUGGGGUGGGAGCUGUCCGUUCAGGACCACAAGCCAUCCUCUGCCCUGGCUUUGAGGGCAGAGCACACCCCAAUGCUUCUGCCUCUGUCCCUUCAUCUCUCAGCCCCUCUCCCUUCUCCUCUCCCCUGCGGCACC
RNAcentral lists this long non-coding RNA (420 nucleotides) under Rattus norvegicus (Norway rat). RNAcentral's name for it is "long non-coding RNA NONRATT006333". The record is from RNAcentral. Lineage: Eukaryota; Metazoa; Chordata; Mammalia; Rodentia; Muridae.